This 492-nucleotide ribosomal RNA is filed under the name uncultured bacterium. RNAcentral's name for it is "partial 16S ribosomal RNA". It matches the Rfam family "Bacterial small subunit ribosomal RNA", at positions 29 to 507 of the family's 1533-position model. The record is from RNAcentral.
AGUGAACGCUGGCAGUAGGCCUAACACAUGCAAGUCGAACGGCAGCACAGUAAGAGCUUGCUCUUACGGGUGGCGAGUGGCGGACGGGCGAGGAAUACAUCGGAAUCUACUUUUUCGUGGGGGAUAACGUAGGGAAACUUACGCUAAUACCGCAUACGACCUACGGGUGAAAGCAGGGGAUCUUCGGACCUUGCGCGAUUGAAUGAGCCGAUGUCGGAUUAGCUAGUUGGCGGGGUAAAGGCCCACCAAGGCGACGAUCCGUAGCUGGUCUGAGAGGAUGAUCAGCCACACUGGAACUGAGACACGGUCCAGACUCCUACGGGAGGCAGCAGUGGGGAAUAUUGGACAAUGGGCGCAAGCCUGAUCCAGCCAUACCGCGUGGGUGAAGAAGGCCUUCGGGUUGUAAAGCCCUUUUGUUGGGAAAGAAAAGCAGCAGGUUAAUACCCCGCUGUUCUGACGGUACCCAAAGAAUAAGCACCGGCUAACUUCGUG